This 84-nucleotide transfer RNA is filed under the name Rhipicephalus microplus (southern cattle tick). Its description in RNAcentral is "tRNA-Leu". It matches the Rfam family "tRNA". From Rfam's summary of the family: Transfer RNA (tRNA) molecules are approximately 80 nucleotides in length. Their secondary structure includes four short double-helical elements and three loops (D, anti-codon, and T loops). Lineage: Eukaryota; Metazoa; Arthropoda; Arachnida; Ixodida; Ixodidae. The record is from RNAcentral.
GGUUAGCGUGGCCGAGUGGUCUAAGGCGCUUGGUUUUAGGCACCAGUCCCUUCGGGGGCGUGGGUUCGAAUCCCACCGCUGCCA